ACGGGGUGCAGCAGGCGCGAAAACUUUACAAUGCAGGAAACUGUGAUAAGGAAACACCGAGUGCUCACAUCAAAUGUGGGCUGUCCACGUACCCAAAUCGUACGUGUUAGCAAGGGCCGGGCAAUACCGGUGCCAGCCGCCGCGGUAAUACCGGUGGCCCGAGUGGUAGCCGCUUUUAUUUGGUCUAAAGGGUCCGUAGCCGGUUCGGUCAGUCCAUUGGUAAAUCCGGGUGCCCAACACCCGGCCUUCAGUGGAUACUUCCGGACUUGGGACCGGGAGAGGUAAGAGGUACUAUAGGGGUAGGAGUGAAAUCUUGUAAUCCCUAUGGGACCACCUGUGGCGAAGGCGUCUUACUAGAACGGGUCCGACGGUGAGGGACGAAAGCUGGGGGCACGAACCGGAUUAGAUACCCGGGUAGUCCCAGCCGUAAACUAUGCCCGCUGGGUGUCAGGCAUGGCGCGGCUGUGUCUGGUGCCGUAGAGAAGUCGUGAAGCGGGCCACCUGGGAAGUACGGCCGCAAGGCUGAAACUUAAAGGAAUUGGCGGGGGAGCAC
This 553-nucleotide ribosomal RNA is filed under the name uncultured archaeon. Its description in RNAcentral is "bacterial SSU rRNA". It matches the Rfam family "Archaeal small subunit ribosomal RNA", at positions 325 to 879 of the family's 1478-position model. The record is from RNAcentral.